Molecule: ribosomal RNA, 253 nt
Filed under: uncultured bacterium
Lineage: Bacteria
Description: partial 16S ribosomal RNA
Rfam family: Bacterial small subunit ribosomal RNA
Source: RNAcentral
UACGUAGGUGACAAGCGUUGUCCGGAUUUACUGGGCGUAAAGAGCGCGCAGGCGGUCGUUCAAGUCGAGUGUGAAAGCCCCCGGCUCAACUGGGGAGGGUCACUCGAUACUGAUCGACUCGAAGGCAGGAGAGGGCAGCAGAAUUCCCGGUGUAGUGGUGAAAUGCGUAGAUAUCGGGAGGAACACCAGUGGCGAAGGCGACUUCCUGGCCUGUUCUUGACGCUGAGGCGCGAAAGCUAGGGGAGCAAACGGG